CAGCACUGUUCGUGACCUGUGAGCCUGCUUGUGACUGAUGGGUUCCAUUCCAGUGCCACAUCAUGUCCCGGGACAGGCAACUGACCAGCCAUGUGGCUCUCAGUUUCAGGUCUGGGAGACACAG
Molecule: small nucleolar RNA, 124 nt
Organism: Choloepus didactylus (southern two-toed sloth)
Lineage: Eukaryota; Metazoa; Chordata; Mammalia; Pilosa; Megalonychidae
Source: RefSeq, a predicted model, not a curated record